AAAUUUAUAAAAUCCCUGUUAAAUUCUCAAUUCAGUCACAAUUCAAAGAACAUAAUCUAAUCGUUUAAUACAAUUUCCAAAAAAUUGCUAGACUCCAAAAUAGCUGCAAAUUACAUAGACUCAACAGACGUUACAAAAAUGGUCCUCAAUCAAAGAGGCCUACCAAAAGAAAUAUGUGGAGACUUGAAUCAAAUAACAGAUUUCUACUCAACUGCCU
RNAcentral lists this long non-coding RNA (217 nucleotides) under Cicer arietinum (chickpea). RNAcentral describes it as "long non-coding RNA (CARI_LNC003101)". Lineage: Eukaryota; Viridiplantae; Streptophyta; Magnoliopsida; Fabales; Fabaceae. The record is from RNAcentral.